GUAUAUUGGACAAUGGGGGCAACCCUGAAUCAGCUAUGCCUCGUGUGUGAAUAAGGUCUUCGUAUUGUAAAGCACUUUAUGAUUGGAGGAAUUGCUUUAGGUUAAUACCCUGAUGAUUCUAUGUUACCAAACGAAUAAGCUUCGGAUAAUGCAGUGCCUGCAGCCGCGGUAAGACAGAGGGUGCAAGCGUUAAUCGGAAUUACUGGGCGUAAAGCGCGCGUAGGUGGUUCAGUAAGAUGGGUGUGAAAUCCCCUGGCUUAACCUGGGAACUGCUUUCAUAACUGCGGAGAUAGAGUACGGUAGAGGGUAGUAGAAUUUCCUGUGUAGCAGUGAAAUGAGUAGAUAUAGGAAGGAACACAAGUGGCGAAGGCGAAUACCUGGACUGAUACUGACACUGAGGUGCGAAAGCGUGGGGAGCAAACA
RNAcentral lists this ribosomal RNA (423 nucleotides) under uncultured bacterium. RNAcentral's name for it is "partial 16S ribosomal RNA". It matches the Rfam family "Bacterial small subunit ribosomal RNA", at positions 359 to 774 of the family's 1533-position model. The record is from RNAcentral.